GCCUGGCCAUCUCAGUUGGUAGUGCAUGAGACUCUUAAUCUCAGGGUCAUGGGUUUGAGUCCCAGGUUGGGCG
Molecule: transfer RNA, 73 nt
Filed under: Sarcophilus harrisii (Tasmanian devil)
Lineage: Eukaryota; Metazoa; Chordata; Mammalia; Dasyuromorphia; Dasyuridae
Rfam family: tRNA
About the family: Transfer RNA (tRNA) molecules are approximately 80 nucleotides in length.
Source: Rfam by way of RNAcentral